UGAGUAAUGUCUGGGAAACUGCCUGAUGGAGGGGGAUAACUACUGGAAACGGUAGCUAAUACCGCAUAACGUCGCAAGACCAAAGAGGGGGACCUUCGGGCCUCUUGCCAUCGGAUGUGCCCAGAUGGGAUUAGCUAGUAGGUGGGGUAAAGGCUCACCUAGGCGACGAUCCCUAGCUGGUCUGAGAGGAUGACCAGCCACACUGGAACUGAGACACGGUCCAGACUCCUACGGGAGGCAGCAGUGGGGAAUAUUGCACAAUGGGCGCAAGCCUGAUGCAGCCAUGCCGCGUGUAUGAAGAAGGCCUUCGGGUUGUAAA
RNAcentral lists this ribosomal RNA (319 nucleotides) under Escherichia coli. RNAcentral's name for it is "bacterial SSU rRNA". It matches the Rfam family "Bacterial small subunit ribosomal RNA", at positions 107 to 429 of the family's 1533-position model. Lineage: Bacteria; Pseudomonadati; Pseudomonadota; Gammaproteobacteria; Enterobacterales; Enterobacteriaceae. The record is from RNAcentral.